CUUUACAAACAUAUUCUUCACCAUGCCAGAGGGCUGAUUUUGACGGAAAACUCCCAGGAAGUCACAGUGUUGGUACUCUUCCAAGGUCCUAAUAAACUAAGGUAACUAUGGAAACUCAAGCACUUGGAACACUGGGCAAUGUAAACGCUCUCUGCUCGGCAGGGUUCCCUCACACGCAAACACCAUUUCUGAGAAAUCCUUAGUACACCUCCCCGAGGGGACCGCACAGACUCAGACCACAUCUAAACAAGCCACAAGCCUGCUCCAGUUCUCUUUGGAACGGGGACACCCAAACCAGCUCCUCCUGGAGAUCUGGGCCCCCUCCCUCUGGACAGCUGAACAGAAGUGAAGCUAACACAUCACCAAUUCCCAAGCUUAGAUUCUGCAACUUGGUGCCUGACAUUGCCACAGCAGAGUCCCCAUGCUGUAGGGGUGACCAGCAUGGGCCCUGUGUGGCAGGAAGGGCUCCAAUUCCAGAGCAUCAAACAACCAAAAGGCCUGAAAACUCUAUUUUAUUCAACUAAUUUAAACCUAGGAAACCUGAAAUACCCAAGGAAAGUCAGCAGUGGAGAGGGAGACUGGCCCUCAGACCUCGGCUCCCCACCCUGUUCAACCGACCUUCCACCACACUCCACUGCAGCCCUGCUGAGUCCAGUUCUGCUCUGGGAGCAAUUCCCAGGGGACACGUGGCAGUCCAACAAGACAGUGUUAUAGCAGCAGGCUCCAAAUCAAAGGAAAAGCAGAAGACAACACGCGCUGUUUUAAAUAUCAUAGAGAGACCAUCCCCGGAGGUGUUUAUCAUGAUUCAGACAUGGACAAGCUUUGGGAUCUCGGACAAGUCACUUCACAUCUCUGGACUUUGUUUCUGUAGUCCUCUCUGGCCCUCUGUUCUGAGUCUCCAUGGAUAGAACUGAUCAUCACUAGAGAGAAAGGAGAGCCACAAACCUAAUCUCCCAGGUGACAAUUAUUAACUCUACCAGUAUGACAUGCCUUCUGGGGAGUGGUGGCAGCGGCCACCUGCAGUCCAUCUCCACAGCAGGAUGAAGUUUCCUGGAGAAGCCACGGAGGUGAAGAGAGGACUCAGGCUGCUAACUCAGCCCAGCCCUGUACAAACACAGGGUAACUGCACCUGGGAUAGAAAGCGUUAAUUUAGAACUUCGUUGUCCUACAUGUUCCAGCAACUCUGUGGUUCUCUAUUAGAGCUGAAGAGACUGAGGCUCUGAGAGGUUGCAUGAUUGUACAAAGGGUGUAAAUGUGCAAUGAGAGGGGACAGAGAGAGAGACAGAAAGAGAGCAUAUUUGAGGUUUGAGACCCUCGAGGUGGAAGCAGAUGUCAGUUAUAACUUGUUGACUGUCUUCUGUGACAAGAACUUUACAUACUUUAUCUCAUUAAAUCCUCACAAUAACCAUGCAACGUAGGUGUCAAAAACUCAUGUUACAGAAGAGUAAAAUGAAGUUGAGACAGGUUAGAGUGAUUCCAGGCACACAACUAUUGGAUGACAGCACCGGUCUUCUCACUUGCUUUUUCUGAUUCCCAAAUCUUUGAUCUUCCCACUCUCUUGGGAUGCCUCAAGGCUGCGUAGACACAUGGCCAGAACAUUCCUCCACUCGAUGUUGUGUAACCACAGGACAGAGGAGAAGACAGUGGCCUUCAACACUUGACAUGAAACUGUGGCAUGAGAAGAGCCAGUGAUCAAGCCAAUCUUGGUCAGAACGUCAUUACCUCUGGUGAGAGAGCCACUGUCUGAGCACCUCUGGUCACCCUAUCCUGUGCCUUGUCAUCAGGCACACUAUAUCUGGGAGAGUCUGGAAUCCCCAUAAGGAAAGGAUGGAGGUAGGGCUGUGAUAGGAAGCCCUUCUCCCUCCCUAGCUCUUUGCCUCAAUUAGCUUAAAGAUACAAAUAGCCCUACAUAGUCUCACAAAGUCUUUCUAUGAGUUGCCAAGUUGCCUUGUUUCCUACGGAACUGUAACAUUUUAUGAAUAAGGUUAUUUAUGAGUGCUUCCACCCUAGUGGGAAAAAGAUAGGUUACAGAAUGAAAAUUCCCUUUACCUCUCAACCUUUGAUCUUCAUAGUCAAAAUCGGGUAACAACAAUAACCUCCAUACAGGAUGGGCAUGAGGAUGCAAUGAAGUGAUGUGUCUGGAUCAUAGAGGUCCCUGUACCAACGUGAUAUUGUUUUAUGCCUGCGGGCAGCUCCAGUCAUCCAAUUAAGCUGACAGGGGCUUCCCUCCUUGCUUGAUGGAGUGGUGAGGACCAGGGUCCCGCUAAUCCUAUGGGUAUUCUCUCAUGUAUCCUUGCAGCAAUCCUAUUUACAUACUAACCCCAUUUACAUACAGGGAACUGAAAGUUUGUGAAGUCAAUUAAAUGGAGGGCAGGUGGACUCUGCACUGUCAGGAAAAGCUCCCAAUCUUGAAAUUACAGCUAGAAGAACCCUGAGAGCAGGGUAUGCACACACCGCCACCUCGGCAGGCCUGGAACACGCUCCUGGUGCCACACUUGGGCCAGUGAGGUACACUGAGGGUCCCAGCCUGACAUCCAGCCAGUAUUUAACUCCAAGGAGAGGGAAGGCACAGGGAAGGACAGGGCCAAGAAAGAAGACACUGGACCUGUUGUGGAAAACUCCACAGACUCGGAAUGAAAUUUUGGCUUUGGUUAUUUUCUGGUGAUCCUCCUGCACAAGGAAUUGGGAAGCCGCUGCCAGCUGGAAGGUGGGGAGCCCCACAUCACAAUUCUUAACCCACCUGUUUAUAAAUAGGCGUUCACAUGUAUGCAAAGCCAAAAGUGGCCUCUCACCCACCUUCCAGUAAUUGCUCUGUGACCCACAGAGAGGGAAGGCAAGGAAGCAAACUUCAAAGGCCUUUGAAAAAGAACACUGACCACAUACAUUUGAAAAGAGGUCAAUGUGGAUUUGACAAAAGGCCAAAGGACAUUUGAAAACACAGGGAGUGACUAUUCAUUCCAAAACACACAGGGGAGUGUGCCCUGAGGAUCUGUGGGGGUUCAUGAAGUCUGUCCAGGAGAACUGUAGGAUCCUUGUGCUUAGGCAAGUUUCAGUUUUAGGGUGUGCCAUGCAGAGUUCCGUUGAUUACGGAGGGCCCAGCUUCCUAAGGAGGAUGUGAAAAUUAACUUGAAACUGAAGCUGUGCCCAAAGGUGUCUGAGGUUGUGACAGUCAGAGUUGCCAGCAUUCUAGUUGGGAUCCCAUUAGCAUGUGACAUCAGACAAGCAAUUGAGGCAGCACGCCAGCCUCUCCACCUACAGACGGGAGCCCCUGUGCCUCUCAAAGUCAGAUGACACACAUGGAAUCAUUUCAAGCCUUUCAAUACUUUCGAUGUCAUAUUAUUCAUUUUCCC
RNAcentral lists this long non-coding RNA (3350 nucleotides) under Rhinopithecus bieti (black snub-nosed monkey). RNAcentral describes it as "lncRNA (ENSRBIG00000045857.1)". The record is from RNAcentral. Lineage: Eukaryota; Metazoa; Chordata; Mammalia; Primates; Cercopithecidae.